GUUUAAACUCUGACAUGAUUUUCAUCUUAUUUGUAACACAAAAGGUGAUGCUGGAAUUCCACUCUAGAUCUACCUCCUCAGUUAAAAGGGCAGAACAGGCUGGGCACCGUGGCUCAAGCCUGUAAUCACAGAACUCUGGGAGGCCGAGGGUCUCACUUUGUUACUCAGGCUGAAGUGUGGUGACAUGAUCUCAGCUCACUGAAACCUCUGCCUCUGGUGCUCAAGUGAUUCUUCCAGCUCAGCCUCCUAAGUAAGUGGGACUACAGGCAAGCGCCACCCAACCAGCUGCUGAUCGAGUGAAUUUCUUUUCCUGUUACGUACUUAUGGAAAUAAUGAAGAUGUCUUGAAGCAUGAGUACUUUUUGCUCAUAUGAGACAACUAGGAUAAGAUUCACUCCAGAACUCCUGAUGAUUUUCCUCUCCUUCAAAUCAGCAAGCAGUGCAGGCUUCUCAAGGGGAAGUAUGGGAAACAGAGAUAGCAGGGAGCCAGCGUCUGGUGAGGUGGAAUGACAGCUGGGGGCAAGGAAGCACCGGCUCUCUUCACUUUAAGGAGGGGCUGACCUAGGAAAAGGGCUUUCCCACAACUUGACCAGAAAAGUUCAUACAAAGGCAAGCCUAUCAGACUUACAGCAGAUCUCUCAGCAGAAACUCUACAAGCCAGAAGAGAGUGGGGGCCAAUAUUCAACAUCCUCAAAGAACAGAACCUUCAGCCCAGAAUUUCAUAUCCAGCCAAACUAAGCUUCACAACUGAAGGAAAAAUAAAAUCUUUUAUGAACAAGCAAGAACUCAGAGAUUUUAUUACCACCAGGCCUGCUUUACAAGAGCUUCUGAAAGAAGCAUUACACACAGAAAGAAACAACCAGUAUUAGCCUUUCUAAAAAUAUACCAAAAAGUAAAGAGCACCAACAUAAAGAAGAAUUUACACCAACAAAUGGAUAAAACAGCCAGUUAACAUCAAAUGGCAGUAAUCCUAAAUUUAAAUUGACUAAAUCCCCCAAUCAAAAGACACAGCCAAAACCCAAUGGCAUGUUACAUCCAGACCUGUUUCACAUGCAAGGAUACACAAAGACUCAAAACAAAGGGAUGGAGAAAGAUUUACCAACCAAAUGGAGAGCAAAAAUAAAUAAUGAAUAAAUAAAAAGCAGGAAUUGCAAGUCUUGUAUCGGAUAAAAUAGAUUUUAAAGCAACAAAGAUAUAGUGGUAAAGGAUCAAUGCAACAACAAGAGCUAACAAUCCUAACACCCAGAUACAUAGAGACUUAGAUUCAAUGAGACAGAAAAUUAAUAAGGAUAUCAAGGACUCGAACUCAGAUCCGGAAUAAGUAAAUUUAAAUAUUCAUAGAGCUCUCCACUUCAAAUACACAAAAUAUACAUUCUUGUCAAUACCACAUCACACCUACCCAUAGGUUUAAAUGAAACAUUGAUUGGCCAUUAUUAAUACCCAAUUUUUUUUCAGAAUAAAGCAAUAUUUCCAUUUACUCUCCCUCUUUCUCUUCCUCUUUCUUCCUCUCCUAUACUUAUUUUUUUUUUCUUUCCUUCUCUCAACAAAAAGAAAUCAACGUGUA
This 1563-nucleotide long non-coding RNA is filed under the name Callithrix jacchus (white-tufted-ear marmoset). RNAcentral's name for it is "lncRNA (ENSCJAG00000053462.2)". Lineage: Eukaryota; Metazoa; Chordata; Mammalia; Primates; Cebidae. The record is from RNAcentral.